AUAUAUCUUAAAAAACUAAUAAAAUGUUUUCAAAAAAUAAAAACAUUAAUAAAAAACUAAAAUUAAUUAAUCACAUCUCUUACUAAUUAAAAAAAAAAUUAAUCACAUCUCUUUCUCUUUUACUCUCUCUGUCUCCUGCUACCUCUUUCUCUCUCUCAAAAUAUCUCAAAGUCUCAACCCUAAAAUGGAAGAGACGAUCUGUACCAAUGGGUAUGAAGACCAUGAAUGGUCAUUUCUCUAUCUGUUGUUGUUGAGGGUGGGCAACAGCGUUUGGUGUGGGGGUUCGCCGAUGGCUGGAGACGAGAAGAUCGACAUCGACGGUGCCGACUUUGACGGAAUCGGCAUCGACAGGAUUAUGGUUUCGACAGGACCUAAUGGCUAAGAAGAUCGAAGCCCUAAUUUUUUGUUGAAGCCUAGAUCUUCGUCUUAGUCCAACACCACCGCUUCUUCAUCUCGUCGAAGGCUAGAUCUUCGUGUCAAUCCACCGGCAUCUUCUUAUUUUUUGUGAUGUUUUUUUAACAUGGGACUAAUGUGUGGGGCUUCUGCUGUGUUUUUGACAUGUACAACAAAAGGUAAUAGAGCUGUAACAUUCAUUGAUCUGAGAUUGCAUAUAUAAAUAAUUAGUUACAAUGUGAAAAUCUCUAAAUAGUAUAUAAGAGUGAUAUACCUGAGUUUGUCAAGUGGGAUAGCACCCAAUUCGACUUUGCAUACUGGACGGGAAUUGCACCCUUCCUCUGUUAUAAUUCUCAAGAGUUUAGAAUAAAUCAAAAGCCAUACAACCAAGGCCGGCCCUGAAAAUAUAUGGGCCCAAGACAAAUUAAAUUUUGGGGCCCUCAAAAAUAUAUAAAAAAAAAUUAAAAGAAGAGUGUUAUGGGAUUUGAACCCAUGACCUUAGACUUUAUGCCAUCCACCUCAACCAACUAAGCUAUAAAUAUUUAUUGUUUAUAAUA
Cannabis sativa is the source of this 950-nucleotide long non-coding RNA. RefSeq lists it as uncharacterized. The record is from RefSeq and is a predicted model, not a curated record. The transcript has 2 exons. NCBI's taxonomy places the organism in Eukaryota, Viridiplantae, Streptophyta, Magnoliopsida, Rosales, Cannabaceae.